RNAcentral lists this transfer RNA (74 nucleotides) under Listeria monocytogenes. RNAcentral describes it as "tRNA-Met". It matches the Rfam family "tRNA". Rfam says of the family: Transfer RNA (tRNA) molecules are approximately 80 nucleotides in length. Their secondary structure includes four short double-helical elements and three loops (D, anti-codon, and T loops). Lineage: Bacteria; Bacillati; Bacillota; Bacilli; Caryophanales; Listeriaceae. RNAcentral also lists the same sequence under 2 other names. The record is from RNAcentral.
CGCGGGGUGGAGCAGUCUGGUAGCUCGUCGGGCUCAUAACCCGAAGGUCGUAGGUUCAAAUCCUUCCCCCGCAA